This 2243-nucleotide long non-coding RNA is filed under the name Zostera marina. RNAcentral's name for it is "long non-coding RNA (ZMAR_LNC005727)". Lineage: Eukaryota; Viridiplantae; Streptophyta; Magnoliopsida; Alismatales; Zosteraceae. The record is from RNAcentral.
UAGGAAUGACAAUUGUACAUGUCUGAUGACAACUCACCCGUCUCACAAAAAAAUCAUCCACCAUAGCUAAAAAAUUGAAACCCAUUUCAUUUUCUCCCACCCAUCGUUCGUGGUGCUCUGUCAAACGUGAUUUUUCACUGCCGUUUGUUGUUGAUCGUUUGUCGCUGACGUCUUAACAGGUUGAUUGUUUGUCACCAUUGUUCGUUUUACUUCUAUUUCACCGCUCUCGUCAAAGUGAGAAGAUUCUUCCUCUGAAAUUUGUAUCCAUGUUAUAAAUACAAACUCACCGACUUGUUUUCUUUUGUGUUUUUGCAGCGAUGAACCCAACGACGAGAUCCUGGAGUUUCAUUCAAAGGCUCCAACCUCCACUUCCUCAUGAAAUUCGUCCUUUGGCACCAAAACCCAGCCUCUCAUCUUCAUCUGGCUCACGACCCUUCACACCAUAGAUACCAACCAAACCAUCCUCCCCUUCAGGAAAUUGGCCAUUCUGCUCAGGGAAGUGUGCACCUCUGUAAUAUUUUCAAUUCUCAUCCCUACAACCAAUAUGGGGAUGAAGGGUACAAUUCUCAUUUUCCUGCCUCAUUUCCUUAAUCCUCUGCUACCUUCCCCCACCACUUAACAUGCUAGUCAUCACCAACUCACAUCUUCUCACUUUUUUCCUAGAUGGAAGGACUACAUCACCAACUUCUUUGCCAACAUUAACAGACACAUGCAUCAAUCGAUUCUCCAUACUUGGCAAGAUCGUCCAUUUGUUUUCUUCCCAGUAAAUACUCAAUCAAUUUUUUAAUUUCAUUAUUCUCAUGACAGGGAUUCUUGCAAAAUGGAAACAAUAUUCAAUGAUGGAAAUCCUUUUAGAGUGAAUGUCGUUUACAAUCACAAGAAAGAUAAGCACUACAUUGACUCAAGAGAAAACCCCUCUGCCCAAAUGAUUUCUUUUAAAAUGGAUGGAAACAAUUAUGUAACUUGGAGGAAACAGUUUAGGAUAGUUGCACUACAAAAAAAAUAAGACCUUGUAUGACGGUCUUAAGAUGACGGAUUUCUGCCGUCAUAAGUGAUCAAUGACGGAAAUCUGCCAUCUUAAAACCGUCAGAACGACAACCGUCAUUAUAAUCCCAUAUCCGUUAUCUAAAUACCGUCAUCUAUUAUUCAUCCGCCAUCAAAAGAUCGCUAUACAAUGUCCUUUUUUUUGUAGUGUUGUCAAUUCUAAAAAAAAUUAGAUUUUCUAACCGGUUCUAUUCCCCAACCAAAGGAGGAUGAUGAAAUCUAUAAGAAAUGGAGUAUGUGAAAUGGCAUGGUUCACUCUAGGAUUCUAGCUGAACAGUCUCAUACUUGAACUAGCAUAGACUUUCUUACACUACAAGAAAACAGAGAAACAACCACGAUCAAGAUCAGUGGCUAAAUGGUAAAAUCCGUGGCUAAAUUGAUUUAGCCAUGGGAGUGACCGUGGUUGUAGGUCUGGUGGCUACUUAUUUUUAACCACGUUGGCCGUGGCUAAAUUUUUGCGACAUGAAGGUCCACAACCAAAAUCAGUGGCUAAUGUUUUUUUGGCCGUGACUAAAUUUUUAAAACAGAAAGAAAAGUGAAAGAUCACAGCCAAAAUCAAUAGCUAAUGUUCCUUUGGCCGUGGUUAAAUUUUUGAAACAUGAAGGAAAUGGAAGGGCCACGACCAAAAUCAGUGGUCAAAUGGUAAAAGCCGUGGCUAAUUUGUUAAAAAAAAUUAAGAAAUUUUUUAAAUGUUGAAAGAUGCUCAUAUUGUAAGGUCUUACACAUUAAUUCAUAUAAUCUAAAAUAUUACCAACAUACAAAUAUUGCCAUUCACAUACAAAUAUUACCAUUCACAUACAAAUAUCAUUCAAACAUACAAAUAUUGUCCAUAUUGUCAUACAAAAAUACCAUUCAAUACAUACAAAUAUUGUCAAAUACAAACAUUCAACACAAACCUAUUGCCAACAUCCAACACAAACCUAUUGCCAACAUACAAAUAUUCAAAAGCAUUCAAAUAACAUAAAAUAAAAUCGAGAAACCUAUUUGUUGGUGUCAGUCACGCUAUUAUAAGUCGCGUUGUUGCCAACAUUUUCAAUAUUCGAAUCUCUUGUAAUUGACGUGAUUAGAAAAAAACAAUGAAGAAGAAAAACAGGGAGCUUUGAAGGUGAUGAUUUCUGGAUCUACUGUGAUACUUGCCGAUCGAUUUUAAUUUCUGUAAAGAUUUUAAAUAAUUUAAUUUCACAAUAAAUGGAAAACAG